Molecule: long non-coding RNA, 735 nt
Organism: Lolium rigidum
Lineage: Eukaryota; Viridiplantae; Streptophyta; Magnoliopsida; Poales; Poaceae
Exons: 3
Source: RefSeq, a predicted model, not a curated record
CUCGCCCUAAUUUUCGUUCCUUUCCCCCUUGUGUGUGUACGAGAUCAUCUGUCGAAGAUAAAAAAAAGCGGGCCGGUGAGACCGGUGUUCAUCUGAUGAUUUGAUUUGUUUGGAUCACAUUGACAUCAGAUUGUCCCAAAUUACUGGAUGUAAUUUCUGCAUGCUUGUAGAUGUGAUUCACUUCAUGUUCUCCAAGGUUGGCUCUGACUUAACCAUGGAUGCUACAUGCAGAAAACUAUUUUCAGUAUUCAGGAGAAGGGUGCUCUGUUUACUAAAUCAGACAACAAAGUGAAGAAGGCUACUAUCGGCUUUUGUGCUAGAACUCCAAAACGGCAAAAAUAUGUGAAGGUGACAAGGAGGAAGUUAGAGGCCGGCGGUACAAGCUAAAUGUACACGCUAGCUUUCCCAUUCAAGAUAGUAGCGGCUCAGCGGUGCCAUUCUUCGUGGUGAGAGCGGUAAGGUAACGCUGUCAGCUUGGGGUCGUCCUAAGGAAUGUAUGUCAGUUAAAUACAAUUCAACAGGGAGAUGCAACUUGUUAAACGAUUUUGACCGUGAUGUUAGUGCAAUUUUUGUCGCGGCGUAACUCACCAAGAUGUUAGUUAAAUUAUAUUGCGAUGUAACUCACCCGGGAUGGUAGCUUUUUUUUUAUCACCAACGUAACUUACAGGGAUGUUGAUUAAAUUACCAUGAUGUAACUCACGUGUGAUGUUAAUUAAAUUAUGGCGAUGUAACUCA